GACGAACGCUGGCGGCGUGCCUAAUACAUGCAAGUCGAGCGGACUGACUGGGAGCUUGCUCUUGUUCGGUCAGCGGCGGACGGGUGAGUAACACGUGGGCAACCUGCCCGCAAGACCGGGAUAACUCCGGGAAACCGGAGCUAAUACCGGAUAACACCGAACACCGCAUGGUCUUUGGGUGAAAGGCGGCGCAAGCCGGCGGUUGCGGAUGGGCGCGCGGCGCCGUAGCUUGUAGGUGUGGUAGCGGCUUACCAGGGCGACGAUGCGCAGCCGGCCUGGGAGGGUGACACGCCACAGUGGGACAGGGGAAGGGCCAAGAGGGCUACGUGCGGCAUGGGUGGGAGCUAGUGCGCGCUAGGCGGCGGGCGGGAACAAGGACGUCGGGUGGGGGAGGACUGCUUUGGGGGUGGAAGGCGCGCCGGUCUGAGACGGCGGGGGAGUGACGGUACCGGGUAAGGAAGCCCCGGCUAACUACGUG
RNAcentral lists this ribosomal RNA (478 nucleotides) under uncultured bacterium. RNAcentral's name for it is "partial 16S ribosomal RNA". It matches the Rfam family "Bacterial small subunit ribosomal RNA", at positions 28 to 507 of the family's 1533-position model. The record is from RNAcentral.